Molecule: unclassified non-coding RNA, 391 nt
Filed under: soil metagenome
Description: partial contains 5.8S ribosomal RNA, internal transcribed spacer 2, and large subunit ribosomal RNA
Rfam family: 5.8S ribosomal RNA (bases 1-122)
Source: RNAcentral
GAUGAAGAACGUAGCGAAAUGCGAUACUUGGUGUGAAUUGCAGAAUCCCGUGAACCAUCGAGUCUUUGAACGCAAGUUGCGCCCGAAGCCAUUAGGCCGAGGGCACGCCUGCCUGGGCGUCACACGUCGUUGCCCCCCCAUCUACUCCUUCGGGAUUGCGGGGGGCGGAUGAUGGCCUCCCGUGCGCCUCGUCGCGCGGUUGGCAUAAAUGCCAAGUCCUCGGCGACGCACGCCACGACAAUCGGUGGUUGCGAAACCUCGGUUGCCCGUCGUGUGCGGUCGUCGCGCAUCGAGGGCUCGAAAAAAUUGCCGGGCUCCGGCUCGGCUUUCAACGCGACCCCAGGUCAGGGGGGGUUACCCGCUGAAUUUAAGCAUAUCAAUAAGCGGAGGA